RNAcentral lists this long non-coding RNA (1546 nucleotides) under Bemisia tabaci. RNAcentral describes it as "lncRNA ENSSSA3NGG010883". Lineage: Eukaryota; Metazoa; Arthropoda; Insecta; Hemiptera; Aleyrodidae. The record is from RNAcentral.
GAAUGUUGAUUCUGGAAGGAGCAAAAGAUUACCGAACAAAUAUUAUCAUUUUCAAAAUGAAAUUCAAGGCAAUGCAAAUGAAUGAGCACAGAAACAGUCAGCUCUGGAUCAAGCAGAAAUAGCGAUAAUAGUGGACUGUUGAGUCUGGAAGGAGCAAAAGAUUACAAAACAAAUAUUAUUAUAUUUAAAAUGAAGUUCAAGGCAAUGCAAAUGAAUGAGAACAGAAACAAUCACCACUGAAUCAAGCAGAAAUAGCGAUAAUAAUGGGAAAAUAUAUACAACAAGUAUAUUCUCUGAAAAAAUUGUCUUUUGACAUGAAUUAUUUGUUAUUCCUCAGUUGUGACAAUCGUUCCCAUGACCAUUUAGAACUUAGAGUCUAUUCAUUUCAGUUCAAGUAUGAUUACAUUCCCCUUCUACAGUAAGGAAAAAUGUAUGUAUGAUCUGCGGCAUUGUAUCACUCACUCCUCCUCUCUUGUAUGCAGAAUGUUUGAGGCAGAUAAUGUUCGAUUGGAAAAUAUCAUUACUGGACAACCAUCGACUUGUGGCUCAGGAAGGUGCUGCUCUGCUCAGAAUACAGAAUGGAGUCAAUUUCUUCGACCACUGUUACCUCAAACACAUUGGAAUAUGGCAAGGAUGAAAAAACCUGGAGGACUGGGCUGACAUUUCCAUAACAAUCGAUCGUUUCAUUUUUGACUUCUCCACCAAAUAAAUUGAAGAUGAUCUGACCGCGUUUGGUGUGUAGUACAUCCUGACUUACAUUCUUGAACAUGUCAAGGCACAAAUCUAUCAUAGGAUUCCUGUGAUGGGCUCCAGCCAGUUUCUCGAGGCCUUUCAUAUACGAUUUGCAGUUCAUGAGCUUCCACUUCUUUUUCACUGGAACAGAAAUUUGAUAACAUUACUCUGUGCUUUCAACGGAGGCCUCAAAGAUUUAUCAGACGAUCCUCUGCUCUUUUACUGUAGAACUGUCUUUCGACUAAAUGCAGAACCUCUACUGUCACUAUCGGUGACAAUUUUCCAUCCCUCUCGACAGGGGCUGACAGGCUCCAAAUUUUCUGGGGAAAAGCCCUGCAGGAAAGAGGAUCAAGGAUCUCCCCUCAGCCAGUCUCUAUCUGCCUCUGGACGUUUAUAUAACAAUAGUAAUGGUGAACACUUAAAGAAACGUUUGUAAGUUUGGCAAUGCGACAGACUUUCGAUCAUAUCUAAUUUUUGAAUGGGAACCUAUAACAUCUCUUUUUAUUGAAUCUCCAGACUUUUUUUCUCUGUGUGAAGUAUUUUCUGGAAAAAAGGAUGAUAUAGGCAUAAAUGAAAUCGAUUUGCGGUAUAAUUUAUAAGUCAAUCAGUACAUAUUGUCAAUUAAGAAAUAAAGCUUUAUUCUAACAAUUGUAGUCAUUCAUUUCUCCACUUUUUGAAGCGAAACUUCCAAUUGACCAUGCAUCGAAACUAUUUUUGAAAUCAUAGCCUAAAUAAAUCCUGCCUAGUAAUUGUAAUAUAAAUUAUGUGCAGCUGUUUCUAAUUAGAUUCUCUUAUGACUCACAACAUUUUUUCU